UGGGGAAUAUUAGGCAAUGGGGGAAACCCUGACCUAGCCAUGCCGCGUGCGUGAAGAAGGUCUUAGGAUUGUAAAGCGCUUUCAGCGGGGGAAGAUGAUGACGGUACCCGCAGAAGAAGCCCCGGCUAACUCCGUGCCAGCAGCCGCGGUAAUACGGAGGGGGCUAGCGUUGUUCGGAAUUACUGGGCGUAAAGGGCGUGUAGGCGGCCAAUUAAGUCAGAGGUGAAAUCCCCGAGCUCAACUUGGGAACUGCCUUUGAUACUGGUUGGCUAGAGUUCGGGAGAGGGUAGUGGAAUUCCCAGUGUAGAGGUGAAAUUCGUAGAUAUUGGGAAGAACACCAGUGGCGAAGGCGGCUACCUGGACCGAUACUGACGCUGAGGCGCG
RNAcentral lists this ribosomal RNA (384 nucleotides) under uncultured bacterium. Its description in RNAcentral is "bacterial SSU rRNA". It matches the Rfam family "Bacterial small subunit ribosomal RNA", at positions 355 to 755 of the family's 1533-position model. The record is from RNAcentral.